AACGAACGCUGGCGGCGUGCUUAACACAUGCAAGUCGAACGCGAAAGGGACUUCGGUCCUGAGUAAAGUGGCGCACGGGUGAGUAACGCGUAGAUAACCUGUCUCCAUGUCUGGAAUAAUACGCCAAAGGGGUACUAAUACCGGAUAUUCUUGCUUUUCAUAAGUUAUGCAAGCAAAGGUGGCCUCUGCAUAUGCUACUGCAUGAAGAGGGGUCUGCGUACCAUUAGCUAGUAGGUGGGGUAAUGGCCUACCUAGGCGACGAUGGUUAGCGGGUCUGAGAGGAUGAUCCGCCACACUGGCACUGGAACACGGGCCAGACUCCUACGGGAGGCAGCAGUGAGGAAUAUUGCGCAAUGGGGGAAACCCUGACGCAGCGACGCCGCGUGAGUGAGGAAGGCCUUCGGGUCGUAAAGCUCUGUCAAGAGGAAAGAAGUGUACAAUGGCUAAUACCUGUUGUAUUUGACGGUACCUCUAAAGGAAGCACCGGCUAACUCCGUGCCAGCCGCCGC
This 509-nucleotide ribosomal RNA is filed under the name uncultured bacterium. RNAcentral describes it as "bacterial SSU rRNA". It matches the Rfam family "Bacterial small subunit ribosomal RNA", at positions 29 to 518 of the family's 1533-position model. The record is from RNAcentral.